GUUCGUAUAAAUUUUUGGUGAUAAUGUAAGCAUCUAUUUUUAAUUGACAAAAGAAAUAGAGUAUGAAUCAGAGGUAACUUAUUUUUAAGAUUUGGGAGAUCUGUUCAAAAAAAAAAAAAAAAGAAUCUGAGGACCUAUAUGUAAACCCUAAGGACCUAAUCGUGAAUAUGAUAAAAACAAGGACUAAACUGCAAAAUGCACCAAAUGACAAAUUCCACCGCUUAAGCUUCUCUGCCUUCGUUGUUAAGGAAGCAGAGGAGGCAGCUCGUGGGUGAUCAGGGAAAGAAAGAAAGAAAGAAGAAGAAGAAGAAGAGAAAGAAAAUUGGGGCUUUUGGGGUUCUUGCUUUAAUCUUUUCAUUGGGGGUCAAAAUUUUCAAAGGAUAGCGUAACUCUUGCUUAAAUGUUAAGAAUGGGCUGAGGCAGCGGAAAGUUUAGAAGACGUUGGGCAGAACUUUUGUUAGCAUAUAUGUAGUUGUGUAUAAGCUACCUUGCAUCUAAUGAAAAGUGACUAUGAAUCUAAACCGGUGGAUUUUGUGUAAGUUAAAGGAUCCCUCAUGUAUAGGGUUUUGGAAUGUUAAAUUAAAUUCGUGUAAUGAUAUGAACUUAUGGUAAAUCGAUGAUUGUGGUGACUGCAUAGAUUUCCCCACUUGUGGAUUUAUAUUGUGGUAUUUAUUUUGAUGUGUUGAGUUCAGAUUGUAUAAAUUAUCGAGUGAUGUGUGCUAUGUUUAUGAACUGCACAGGUUUUAUGGAUGUGAAUAUGAAUAGAAUGUUUUCAGUGUCCUCAAACGUUAGUUUGGAUCCUGGAUUGGUCUAUGACGAAAAUUUUAAAAAUCAUGGAUAUUUUGAGGGGCGUGACAGAGGUGGUAUCAGAGCAUUGUUUGAGGAUUACUGAAAUAUUUGAUAUGUUGACGUGCAAAAUAUAUUGAGGUCUAAUGAACUAUAGUGAUUGGUGGAAAUUUUCUUUGAUGUAUUUUAGGAAUCUGGGAUGAUGAGGACAUUUGGUCCUCCUAUUUCAUUGUUUCUGAUUAAUUAAGGGGAAUGAAAGGAUUGAUUGGGGAUAUUGAAUCAGAGUGGCGCAGCGGAAGCAUGGUGGACCUAAUUUUAUUGGUGGUAGAAAAAUGAAUGAUGCAAACAGAGAAGAUAUUUGAUGUACAAAAUUGUUUUGAUGAUCAAAAGAUUUCUUUUGCCACCUUAUAUUGGAAGUAGAGGCUGAUUAUUAUUGGCAACAAUGAAAAGAAUUUUUGGAGAUCAGUGACAAGAAUGAUAAGGACAAGUUUACCAAUAAGAAUAUGAUUGGAAAUGAAUCAGAAAGUAAUGACAAGAGGGUCAAGACAUUUGGAUUUGAAAAGGAAAGUCAUCACCAAAGACUUAAUCAUGUGUGAAUUACAAGUUAAAUUAUGAAACAAGUUUGUGUUUUCGGGUGAUUGGAGUCUAUUUUGCUUGUAGAAAGUUGGAUCAUAAAAUAAAAGUUUGCCCUUUGAACAAGAAGAAAGAGUCACUGCCUCCUAAAUCAUCAGCCCAUGUAAGAGUGUAUGCUAUCACUAAAUAUGAUUCUGAAACUUCUGAAUUAGUGGUCAAAGGUAUUAUGCAUGUUUAUGAAAGAAUGCAAAUAUUUGUUUGAUCAUGGGUCCCAUCUACGAUUUGAUUCGUAAUAUUUUGCUUAUCACUUGGGUAUUCAACCUAGACCACUACAUUAUGUGCUAUAAGUAAAUACGAUCAUUGGAGAUUCUUUGAUAACGAACUUGAAAUCUGGUCCUCUUGUCUGAUUUUUAUUGGAGAACUUGAACUUUUGCUGAUUUAGUUCUCCUAGAGAUUUGGAGUUAUGAUAUUAUACUUGGUAUGGAUUGGCCAUCUUCUUAACAUACCAGUAUGGAUUGGUAUAUAACAAAUGAUCACUUUUUGCAUAUUUGAUCAGCCGAUCUUUUAUUUUGAGAGUAUUGGACAUUAUUUAUCUCCUUGCCUAAUGUAUCCCAGGAUGACUUGUUUGGAUUACCUCCAAAUGUGAUUUUGCUUUUGAUUUGGUCCUUGGGACAAUCCUAAAAUCUAAGCCUCUCUACAGAAAGAUAUCAUUUGAGUAAGUGGAAUUGGAAAAGCAACUACAAGGAUUGUUAAAUGAGGAUUUUAUUUGGCUUAAUAUUUUAUCAUGGGGUGCUCCGGUGUUAGUUAAAAGAUGGAUGGAACAUUGAGGCUUUGUAUUGAUGAAACUAUUUAAGAGUAGGAGGAGGAAAUAAAGAUACCAUAAUCCUCAUCUUUUCAUCAAUUGAGCUAUGAUCAAUUUAGAGGACUAAAUUUUCUUUUAAGGGGGGGAGAGUGUAACACCCCUCAUUUCCGAAUGUUCGUAUAAAUUUUUGGUGAUAAUGUAAGCAUCUAUUUUUAAUUGACAAAAGAAAUAGAGUAUGAAUCAGAGGUAACUUAUUUUUAAGAUUUGGGAGAUCUGUUCAAAAAAAAAAAAAAAAGAAUCUGAGGACCUAUAUGUAAACCCUAAGGACCUAAUCGUGAAUAUGAUAAAAACAAGGACUAAACUGCAAAAUGCACCAAAUGACAAAUUCCACCGCUUAAGCUUCUCUGCCUUCGUUGUUAAGGAAGCAGAGGAGGCAGCUCGUGGGUGAUCAGGGAAAGAAAGAAAGAAAGAAGAAGAAGAAGAAGAGAAAGAAAAUUGGGGCUUUUGGGGUUCUUGCUUUAAUCUUUUCAUUGGGGGUCAAAAUUUUCAAAGGAUAGCGUAACUCUUGCUUAAAUGUUAAGAAUGGGCUGAGGCAGCGGAAAGUUUAGAAGACGUUGGGCAGAACUUUUGUUAGCAUAUAUGUAGUUGUGUAUAAGCUACCUUGCAUCUAAUGAAAAGUGACUAUGAAUCUAAACCGGUGGAUUUUGUGUAAGUUAAAGGAUCCCUCAUGUAUAGGGUUUUGGAAUGUUAAAUUAAAUUCGUGUAAUGAUAUGAACUUAUGGUAAAUCGAUGAUUGUGGUGACUGCAUAGAUUUCCCCACUUGUGGAUUUAUAUUGUGGUAUUUAUUUUGAUGUGUUGAGUUCAGAUUGUAUAAAUUAUCGAGUGAUGUGUGCUAUGUUUAUGAACUGCACAGGUUUUAUGGAUGUGAAUAUGAAUAGAAUGUUUUCAGUGUCCUCAAACGUUAGUUUGGAUCCUGGAUUGGUCUAUGACGAAAAUUUUAAAAAUCAUGGAUAUUUUGAGGGGCGUGACAGAGGUGGUAUCAGAGCAUUGUUUGAGGAUUACUGAAAUAUUUGAUAUGUUGACGUGCAAAAUAUAUUGAGGUCUAAUGAACUAUAGUGAUUGGUGGAAAUUUUCUUUGAUGUAUUUUAGGAAUCUGGGAUGAUGAGGACAUUUGGUCCUCCUAUUUCAUUGUUUCUGAUUAAUUAAGGGGAAUGAAAGGAUUGAUUGGGGAUAUUGAAUCAGAGUGGCGCAGCGGAAGCAUGGUGGACCUAAUUUUAUUGGUGGUAGAAAAAUGAAUGAUGCAAACAGAGAAGAUAUUUGAUGUACAAAAUUGUUUUGAUGAUCAAAAGAUUUCUUUUGCCACCUUAUAUUGGAAGUAGAGGCUGAUUAUUAUUGGCAACAAUGAAAAGAAUUUUUGGAGAUCAGUGACAAGAAUGAUAAGGACAAGUUUACCAAUAAGAAUAUGAUUGGAAAUGAAUCAGAAAGUAAUGACAAGAGGGUCAAGACAUUUGGAUUUGAAAAGGAAAGUCAUCACCAAAGACUUAAUCAUGUGUGAAUUACAAGUUAAAUUAUGAAACAAGUUUGUGUUUUCGGGUGAUUGGAGUCUAUUUUGCUUGUAGAAAGUUGGAUCAUAAAAUAAAAGUUUGCCCUUUGAACAAGAAGAAAGAGUCACUGCCUCCUAAAUCAUCAGCCCAUGUAAGAGUGUAUGCUAUCACUAAAUAUGAUUCUGAAACUUCUGAAUUAGUGGUCAAAGGUAUUAUGCAUGUUUAUGAAAGAAUGCAAAUAUUUGUUUGAUCAUGGGUCCCAUCUACGAUUUGAUUCGUAAUAUUUUGCUUAUCACUUGGGUAUUCAACCUAGACCACUACAUUAUGUGCUAUAAGUAAAUACGAUCAUUGGAGAUUCUUUGAUAACGAACUUGAAAUCUGGUCCUCUUGUCUGAUUUUUAUUGGAGAACUUGAACUUUUGCUGAUUUAGUUCUCCUAGAGAUUUGGAGUUAUGAUAUUAUACUUGGUAUGGAUUGGCCAUCUUCUUAACAUACCAGUAUGGAUUGGUAUAUAACAAAUGAUCACUUUUUGCAUAUUUGAUCAGCCGAUCUUUUAUUUUGAGAGUAUUGGACAUUAUUUAUCUCCUUGCCUAAUGUAUCCCAGGAUGACUUGUUUGGAUUACCUCCAAAUGUGAUUUUGCUUUUGAUUUGGUCCUUGGGACAAUCCUAAAAUCUAAGCCUCUCUACAGAAAGAUAUCAUUUGAGUAAGUGGAAUUGGAAAAGCAACUACAAGGAUUGUUAAAUGAGGAUUUUAUUUGGCUUAAUAUUUUAUCAUGGGGUGCUCCGGUGUUAGUUAAAAGAUGGAUGGAACAUUGAGGCUUUGUAUUGAUGAAACUAUUUAAGAGUAGGAGGAGGAAAUAAAGAUACCAUAAUCCUCAUCUUUUCAUCAAUUGAGCUAUGAUCAAUUUAGAGGACUAAAUUUUCUUUUAAGGGGGGGAGAGUGUAACACCCCUCAUUUCCGAAUGUUCGUAUAAAUUUUUGGUGAUAAUGUAAGCAUCUAUUUUUAAUUGACAAAAGAAAUAGAGUAUGAAUCAGAGGUAACUUAUUUUUAAGAUUUGGGAGAUCUGUUCAAAAAAAAAAAAAAAAGAAUCUGAGGACCUAUAUGUAAACCCUAAGGACCUAAUCGUGAAUAUGAUAAAAACAAGGACUAAACUGCAAAAUGCACCAAAUGACAAAUUCCACCGCUUAAGCUUCUCUGCCUUCGUUGUUAAGGAAGCAGAGGAGGCAGCUCGUGGGUGAUCAGGGAAAGAAAGAAAGAAAGAAGAAGAAGAAGAAGAGAAAGAAAAUUGGGGCUUUUGGGGUUCUUGCUUUAAUCUUUUCAUUGGGGGUCAAAAUUUUCAAAGGAUAGCGUAACUCUUGCUUAAAUGUUAAGAAUGGGCUGAGGCAGCGGAAAGUUUAGAAGACGUUGGGCAGAACUUUUGUUAGCAUAUAUGUAGUUGUGUAUAAGCUACCUUGCAUCUAAUGAAAAGUGACUAUGAAUCUAAACCGGUGGAUUUUGUGUAAGUUAAAGGAUCCCUCAUGUAUAGGGUUUUGGAAUGUUAAAUUAAAUUCGUGUAAUGAUAUGAACUUAUGGUAAAUCGAUGAUUGUGGUGACUGCAUAGAUUUCCCCA
This is a long non-coding RNA of Musa acuminata AAA Group (dessert banana), 5314 nucleotides long. RefSeq lists it as uncharacterized. The transcript has 4 exons. The record is from RefSeq and is a predicted model, not a curated record. Lineage: Eukaryota; Viridiplantae; Streptophyta; Magnoliopsida; Zingiberales; Musaceae.